Molecule: ribosomal RNA, 465 nt
Filed under: uncultured bacterium
Lineage: Bacteria
Description: partial 16S ribosomal RNA
Rfam family: Bacterial small subunit ribosomal RNA
Source: RNAcentral
CUACGGGAUGCACCAGUGAGGAAUAUUGCGCAAUGGGGGAAACCCUGACGCAGCGACGCCGCGUGGAUGAUGAAGGCCUUAGGGUCGUAAAAUCCUGUCAGGUGGGAAGAAGUGGAUAUAGAUUAAUACUCUAUUUCUUUGACGGUACCACCAAAGGAAGCACCGGCUAACUCCGUGCCAGCAGCCGCGGUAAUACGGAGGGUGCAAACGUUGUUCGGAAUUACUGGGCGUAAAGCGCGCGUAGGCGGUUUGUUAAGUCAGAUGUGAAAGUCCGUGGCUCAACUAGGGAAGUGCAUUUGAAACUGGCAGACUUGAGUACUGGAGGGGGUGAUGGAAUUCCCGGUGCAGAGGUGAAAUUCGUAGAUAUCGGGAGGAAUACCGGUGGCGAAGGCGAUCACCUGGCCAGAUACUGACGCUGAGGUGCGAAAGCGUGGGGAGCAAACAGGAUUAGAUACCCUCGUAGUC